This 310-nucleotide long non-coding RNA is filed under the name Equus asinus (donkey). RNAcentral describes it as "lncRNA (ENSEASG00005028049.1)". The record is from RNAcentral. Lineage: Eukaryota; Metazoa; Chordata; Mammalia; Perissodactyla; Equidae.
CUGAAACUUUUCAUUUCACAGGUGACCCAUUUUCACCAGCCUUUUUUCACCUUUCAAGCCAGGGGAUUCUUUCACUCUCUUCUCCCUCGGCCUUGGCCGUUUCCCUCGUUAGGAUGGAACGAUACAAGGAGAGGCUGAGAUCUAUUUCCAUAUUUUGUCCAAAACCACAGCAUUUGGAUUGGAGGCAGAAUCAUCAAGCUUUAUGAAGGAAUUGCUCAGCGCCGCAGGGAGGGGAGACCGAGGCUAUGCGAGGACCAAGGAUGGACUCUGCUGUUUUGACUGAAGUGACGAGUCCAGUAACUGAUUUGUA